ACACCGGCAGCUCUAGUGGUAACAAUUUUUAUUGGGCCUAAAGCGUCCGUAGCCGGUUUAAUAAGUCUCUGGUGAAAUCCUGUAGCUUAACUGUGGGAAUUGCUGGAGAUACUAUUAGACUUGAGACCGGGAGAGGUUAGAGGUACUCCCAGGGUAGAGGUGAAAUUCUGUAAUCCUGGGAGGACCGCCUGUUGCGAAGGCGUCUAACUGGAACGGUUCUGACGGUGAGGGACGAAAGUUAGGGGCGCGAACCGGAUUAGAUACCCGGGUAGUCCUAACUGUAAACGAUGCGGACUUGGUGUUGGGGUGGCUUUGAGCUGCUCCAGUGCCGAAGGGAAGCUGUUAAGUCCGCCGCCUGGGAAGUACGGUCGCAAGACUGAA
RNAcentral lists this ribosomal RNA (381 nucleotides) under uncultured archaeon. RNAcentral describes it as "bacterial SSU rRNA". It matches the Rfam family "Archaeal small subunit ribosomal RNA", at positions 473 to 853 of the family's 1478-position model. The record is from RNAcentral.